This 231-nucleotide long non-coding RNA is filed under the name Gossypium barbadense (sea-island cotton). Its description in RNAcentral is "long non-coding RNA (GBAR_LNC022761)". The record is from RNAcentral. Lineage: Eukaryota; Viridiplantae; Streptophyta; Magnoliopsida; Malvales; Malvaceae.
UUAACCUAGAUUUUAUAUUAUUUUACAAACAUUUGAUGUAAUUAACACUAUUGCAAAUAAUAAGGUGAAGAUGAAUCGAUGAAACCAGCAAUGUAGUUGUUUCUCAAAUCAAGACUCUUCAAUUCUUCGAAGGGAAGAAAUAAAGAAACGUUGAGAUACCAAUUCUGAUGGAUAUCCUUGUGGUCUCUAUCGUAACUAUUCUCAAGGAAGAGUCGGGUGACUCGUCCAGUG